This is a long non-coding RNA of Nyctereutes procyonoides (raccoon dog), 943 nucleotides long. RefSeq lists it as uncharacterized. NCBI's taxonomy places the organism in Eukaryota, Metazoa, Chordata, Mammalia, Carnivora, Canidae. The transcript has 3 exons. The record is from RefSeq and is a predicted model, not a curated record.
CUCACCUGUCUAAGGGCGCCCCGCGCCGGCGCGCCUCCCCAGUCCUGCCAGGAAUUCUCAGUGCCUCCAGAAUCCACGUGGGUGAUCCUUCCAACCCCUUGCCUUCUUAAAAGGCGCCUGGGAUUGUUUUAAUCAGGUAUGAAAAGGUGACAGACGCAGAGACAACUGCCUUGAAAGAAGAGUUUAGAACUGACCCAAGAGGAGUGGGCACAAGGAAGUACCAGGACUGGGCAGGAGGCUGAAUUUGCCAGGAGAGAGCACAGCCCAGAGCCUUUGUGGUGUCUUCUGUGAAAAGGAGUGGGUGCAGCAAGGCAGCAGGUGGACACUGGCAGCAAGAACUUUGCUGAUGGAGGCUGGAUGAGGGAGGCCAUGUUCAGAAUCGGCAUGAAGAUGGUGAGCCUACGGCCUGUGGAAACAAGGAAAGUGGAAACUGUGUCUAAGGAUCUGAUUUUCCUGGCAGGGAACUUUAAGGCCAGUUGGCUUUUUUCAGUUAGGCUAAAGUGAAAUAAAAGAAUUAAAGACGUAACUUGCAUGUUCUGGCAUAACCUAGAGGAACUAUUUCCAAUCCAGGUCUUGCUGAGGUAGAAAGUCAGAACUCUUUCUCAUUUCUAGCCUUCCCAACUAGCAAAAAAAUUCUGAAGGUAAGAAAUGGCAUCAUGGUGAAGAUUAAAUCCAGGGCACUGCCAGCAAAACAUGAAAGUAAAUUCAAGGGUAUGGUUCUAUGAUCCUUGUUAAGACUUCUGAGCCUUUCAGGAGGGAGUGGGGAAUCCUUGUAGACUUCAUCAGCCUGUCAAAAGGGCUUCUAAGAGUCUUGACGUUGUCCCACAGCACCUGACUCAUGGCCACCGGACCGAAGAGCCUUCUUCUCAAAAACAUUUGCAGCAUAGCUUUUGUUUAGUGAAACCAGUUACUAUUUGAUAUAUAGAAAAUCCAUAUUUUAAGG